RNAcentral lists this ribosomal RNA (1047 nucleotides) under Bacillus aerophilus. RNAcentral's name for it is "bacterial SSU rRNA". It matches the Rfam family "Bacterial small subunit ribosomal RNA", at positions 35 to 1094 of the family's 1533-position model. The record is from RNAcentral. Lineage: Bacteria; Bacillati; Bacillota; Bacilli; Caryophanales; Bacillaceae.
GCCGGGGGGGUGCUAUACAUGCAGUCGAGCGGACAGAAGGGAGCUUGCUCCCGGAUGUUAGCGGCGGACGGGUGAGUAACACGUGGGUAACCUGCCUGUAAGACUGGGAUAACUCCGGGAAACCGGAGCUAAUACCGGAUAGUUCCUUGAACCGCAUGGUUCAAGGAUGAAAGACGGUUUCGGCUGUCACUUACAGAUGGACCCGCGGCGCAUUAGCUAGUUGGUGAGGUAACGGCUCACCAAGGCGACGAUGCGUAGCCGACCUGAGAGGGUGAUCGGCCACACUGGGACUGAGACACGGCCCAGACUCCUACGGGAGGCAGCAGUAGGGAAUCUUCCGCAAUGGACGAAAGUCUGACGGAGCAACGCCGCGUGAGUGAUGAAGGUUUUCGGAUCGUAAAGCUCUGUUGUUAGGGAAGAACAAGUGCAAGAGUAACUGCUUGCACCUUGACGGUACCUAACCAGAAAGCCACGGCUAACUACGUGCCAGCAGCCGCGGUAAUACGUAGGUGGCAAGCGUUGUCCGGAAUUAUUGGGCGUAAAGGGCUCGCAGGCGGUUUCUUAAGUCUGAUGUGAAAGCCCCCGGCUCAACCGGGGAGGGUCAUUGGAAACUGGGAAACUUGAGUGCAGAAGAGGAGAGUGGAAUUCCACGUGUAGCGGUGAAAUGCGUAGAGAUGUGGAGGAACACCAGUGGCGAAAGCGACUCUCUGGUCUGUAACUGACGCUGAGGAGCGAAAGCGUGGGGAGCGAACAGGAUUAGAUACCCUGGUAGUCCACGCCGUAUACGAUGAGUGCUAAGUGUUAGGGGUUUCCGCCCCUUAUUGCUGCAGCUAACGCAUUAAGCACUCCGGCUGGGGAGUACGGUCGCAAGACUGAUACUCAAGGAAAUGACGGGGGCCCGCACAGACGCUGUACAUGUGAUUUUAUCGAGCACCGCGAGAACUAUCAGUCUGGACAUCUCUGAAGAUCCUAAGUAGGACUUCCUCCGCGACGAGGACAGGGUGCAUCGUGUCUUCACUCCUGUCUGAAAGUAUGUAAUCCGAUCAG